RNAcentral lists this ribosomal RNA (460 nucleotides) under uncultured bacterium. RNAcentral's name for it is "partial 16S ribosomal RNA". It matches the Rfam family "Bacterial small subunit ribosomal RNA", at positions 338 to 795 of the family's 1533-position model. The record is from RNAcentral.
CCUACGGGUGGCUGCAGUGAGGAAUAUUGGUCAAUGGACGAGAGUCUGAACCAGCCAAGUCGCGUGAAGGAUGACUGCCCUAUGGGUUGUAGACUUCUUUUAUAAAGGAAUAAAACGAGGCACGUGUGCCUUUUUGCAUGUACUUGAUGAAUAAGGAUCGGCUAACUCCGUGCCAGCAGCCGCGGUAAUACGGAGGAUCCGAGCGUUAUCCGGAUUUAUUGGGUUUAAAGGGAGCGUAGAUGGGUUCUUAAGUCAGUUGUGAAAAUUGGGGGCUAAACCGUAACAGAGCAAUUGAUACUGGGAGUCUUGAGUGCAGUUGAGGCAGGCGGAAUUCGUGGUGUAGCGGUGAAAUGCAUAGAUAUCACGAAGAACCCCGAUUGCGAAGGCAGCUUACUAAGCUGUGACUGACAUUGAUGCUCGAAAGUGUGGGUAUCAAACAGGAUUAGAUACCCGUGUAGUC